Molecule: ribosomal RNA, 439 nt
Filed under: uncultured bacterium
Lineage: Bacteria
Description: partial 16S ribosomal RNA
Rfam family: Bacterial small subunit ribosomal RNA
Source: RNAcentral
CUACGGGGUGCUCCAGUGGGGAAUAUUGCACAAUGGGGGGAACCCUGAUGCAGCAACGCCGCGUGGAGGAUGACGCAUUUCGGUGUGUAAACUCCUUUUAUGUGUCAAGAAAAUGACGGUAGCAUAUGAAUAAGCACCGGCUAACUCCGUGCCAGCAGCCGCGGUAAUACGGAGGGUGCAAGCGUUACUCGGAAUCACUGGGCGUAAAGGACGCGUAGGCGGGUUGGAAAGUCAGGUGUGAAAUCCUACAGCUUAACUGUAGAACUGCGCUUGAAACUUCUAAUCUAGAGUAUGGGAGGGGGAGAUGGAAUUAGUGGUGUAGGGGUAAAAUCCGUAGAUAUCACUAGGAAUACCUAAAGCGAAGGCGAUCUCCUGGAACAUUACUGACGCUAAGGCGUGAAAGCGUGGGGAGCAAACAGGAUUAGAUACCCCUGUAGUC